CGGGUGAGUAAUGCGUGACCAACCUGCCCCAUGCUCCAGAAUAGCUCUUGGAAACGGGUGGUAAUGCUGGAUGCUCCAACUUGACGCAUGUCUUGUUGGGAAAGUGUUUAGUGGCAUGGGAUGGGGUCGCGUCCUAUCAGCUUGUAGGCGGGGUAAUGGCCCACCUAGGCUUCGACGGGUAGCCGGCCUGAGAGGGCGGACGGCCACAUUGGGACUGAGAUACGGCCCAGACUCCUACGGGAGGCCAGCAGGU
RNAcentral lists this ribosomal RNA (253 nucleotides) under uncultured Gardnerella sp. RNAcentral's name for it is "partial 16S ribosomal RNA". It matches the Rfam family "Bacterial small subunit ribosomal RNA", at positions 103 to 349 of the family's 1533-position model. Lineage: Bacteria; Bacillati; Actinomycetota; Actinomycetes; Bifidobacteriales; Bifidobacteriaceae. The record is from RNAcentral.